This 497-nucleotide ribosomal RNA is filed under the name uncultured bacterium. RNAcentral's name for it is "partial 16S ribosomal RNA". It matches the Rfam family "Bacterial small subunit ribosomal RNA", at positions 28 to 507 of the family's 1533-position model. The record is from RNAcentral.
GAUGAACGCUGGCGGCGUGCCUAAUACAUGCAAGUCGAGCGAACAGACCAGGAGCUUGCUCCUCUGUCGUUAGCGGCGGACGGGUGAGUAACACGUGGAUAACCUACCUAUUAGACUGGGAUAACUUCGGGAAACCGGAGCUAAUACCGGAUAAUAUGUUGUACCGCAUGGUUCAUUAGUGAAAGACGGUUUUGCCUUCACUUAUAGGUUGAUCCGCGCCGCAUUAGCUAGUUGGUAAGGUAACGGCUGACCAAGGCAACGAUGCGUAGCCGACCUGAGAGGGUGAUCGGCCACACUGGAACUGAGACACGGUCCAGACUCCUACGGGAGGCAGCAGUAGGGAAUCUUCCGCAAUGGGCGAAAGCCUGACGGAGCAACGCCGCGUGAGUGAUGAAGGUCUUCGGAUCGUAAAACUCUGUUGUUAGGGAAGAACAAGUGUGGAAGUAACUAUGCACGUCGUGACGGUACCUAACCAGAAAGCCACGGCUAACUACGUG